This 497-nucleotide ribosomal RNA is filed under the name uncultured bacterium. Its description in RNAcentral is "partial 16S ribosomal RNA". It matches the Rfam family "Bacterial small subunit ribosomal RNA", at positions 28 to 507 of the family's 1533-position model. The record is from RNAcentral.
GAUGAACGCUGGCGGCGUGCCUAAUACAUGCAAGUAGAACGCUGAAGGAAGGAGCUUGCUCUUUCCGGAUGAGUUGCGAACGGGUGAGUAACGCGUAGGUAACCUGCCUGGUAGCGGGGGAUAACUAUUGGAAACGAUAGCUAAUACCGCAUAACAGUAGAUGUUGCAUGAUAUCUACUUAAAAGGUGCAAUUGCUCCACUACCAGCUGGACCUGCGUUGUAUUAGCUAGUUGGUGAGGUAACGGCUCAACAAGGCGACGAUACAUAGCCGACCUGAGAGGGAGAUCGGACACACUGGGAAUGAGAAACGGCCCAGACUCCUACGGGAGGCAGCAGUAGGGAAUCUUCGGAAAUGGACGGAAGUCUGAACGAGCAACGCCGCGUGAGUGAAGAAGGUUUUCGGAUCGUAAAGCUAUGUUGUAAGAGAAGAACGAGUGGGAGAGUGGAAAGUUCACACUGUGACGGUAUCUUACCAGAAAGGGACGGCUAACUACGUG